GUCCGUGUGGCGGAACUGGCAUACGCACUCGGCUAAGAACCGGGGUCUUGGGAGUUCAAAUCUCCCCACGGAUACCA
RNAcentral lists this transfer RNA (77 nucleotides) under Ruminococcaceae bacterium FB2012. RNAcentral's name for it is "tRNA_Leu_AAG". It matches the Rfam family "tRNA". From Rfam's summary of the family: Transfer RNA (tRNA) molecules are approximately 80 nucleotides in length. Their secondary structure includes four short double-helical elements and three loops (D, anti-codon, and T loops). Further hydrogen bonds mediate the characteristic L-shaped molecular structure. tRNAs have two regions of fundamental functional importance: the anti-codon, which is responsible for specific mRNA codon recognition, and the 3' end, to which the tRNAs corresponding amino acid is attached (by aminoacyl-tRNA synthetases). tRNAs cope with the degeneracy of the genetic code in two manners: having more than one tRNA (with a specific anti-codon) for a particular amino acid; and 'wobble' base-pairing, i.e. permitting non-standard base-pairing at the 3rd anti-codon position. Lineage: Bacteria; Bacillati; Bacillota; Clostridia; Eubacteriales; Oscillospiraceae. The record is from RNAcentral.